GGGCCCGCACAAGCGGUGGAGUAUGUGGUUUAAUUCGAUGCAACGCGAAGAACCUUACCAGGGUUUGACAUCCUGCGAAUCUCUUGGAAACAGGAGAGUGCCUUCGGGAACGCAGUGACAGGUGGUGCAUGGCUGUCGUCAGCUCGUGUCGUGAGAUGUUGGGUUAAGUCCCGCAACGAGCGCAACCCACGUCUUUAGUUGCCAGCAUUUAGUUGGGCACUCUAGAGAGACUGCCGGUGAUAAACCGGAGGAAGGUGGGGAUGACGUCAAGUCCUCAUGGCCCUUAUGUGUUGGGCUACACACGUGCUACAAUGGUACUUACAAUGGGAAGCAAAGAGGCAACUCCUAGCCAAUCCCUAAAAUGUACCUCAGUUCGGAUUGUACUCUGUAACUCGAGUGCAUGAAGCUGGAAUUGCUAGUAAUCG
RNAcentral lists this ribosomal RNA (425 nucleotides) under uncultured bacterium. Its description in RNAcentral is "bacterial SSU rRNA". It matches the Rfam family "Bacterial small subunit ribosomal RNA", at positions 917 to 1344 of the family's 1533-position model. The record is from RNAcentral.